AGUAAGCGCCUCCCCCAGACUUA
RNAcentral lists this non-coding RNA (23 nucleotides) under Arabidopsis thaliana (thale cress). Lineage: Eukaryota; Viridiplantae; Streptophyta; Magnoliopsida; Brassicales; Brassicaceae. The record is from RNAcentral.